Molecule: ribosomal RNA, 1327 nt
Filed under: metagenome
Description: SSU rRNA
Rfam family: Eukaryotic small subunit ribosomal RNA
Source: RNAcentral
AGUCAUAUGCUUGUCUCAAAGAUUAAGCCAUGCAUGUCUAAGUACAAGCCUCACUAAGGUGAAACCGCGAAUGGCUCAUUAAAUCACACCUAAUCUACUGGAUAGUUAANAGUUACUUGGAUAACUGCGGUAAUUCUGGAGCUAAUACAUGCACAAAGCCCCGAACUUACGUGAGGGGCGCUUUUAUUAGAUCAAAACCAAACGGCUUCGGCUGUACUCUUGGUGACUCUGAAUAACUUUGGGCUGAUCGUACGGCCUAGCGCCGACGACAUAUCCUUCGAAGGUGUGCCCUAUCAACUGUCGACUGUGGCAUAGACGCCCACAGUGGUUUUGACGGGUAACGGGGAAUCAGGGUUCGAUUCCGGAGAGGGAGCCUUAAAAACGGCUACCACAUCUAAGGAAGGCAGCAGGCACGCAAAUUACCCAAUGACCGAAGGUCGAGGUAGUGACAAAAAAUAACGAUACGGGACUCAUCUGAGGCCCCGUAAUCGGAAUGAGUACACUUUAAAACCGUCCCCGAGGAUCUAUUGGAGGGCAAGUCUGGUGCCAGCAGCCGCGGUAAUUCCAGCUCCAAUAGCGUAUAUUAAAGUUGUUGUGGUUAAAAAGCUCGUAGUUGGAUCUCGGCGGUCUGAGGGCGGUUCGCUUGAUUGAGUGCUACUGCUCUAUAGGCCGUGGUUUUGCCAGAGGUCUCGGGGUGCUCUUAACCGAGUGUCCUGCGAUGCUGGCAGGUUUACUUUGAAAAAAUUAGAGUGCUCAAAGCAGGCUUUUACGCCUGAAUAUUCGUGCAUGGAAUAAUAGAAUAGGAAGUCGUUUCUAUUUUGUUGGUUUUCGGAAAUCGACUUAAUGAUUAAUAGGGACAGUCGGGGGCAUUUGUAUUCAAACGACAGAGGUGAAAUUCUUGGACCGUUUGAAGACAAACUACUGCGAAAGCAUUUGCCAAGAAUGUUUUCAUUAAUCAAGAACGAAAGUUAGAGGUUCGAAGGCGAUUAGAUACCGCCCUAGUUCUAACCAUAAACGAUGCCAGCUAGCGAUCUGCCGACGUUUUCUUUGUAGACUCGGCAGGAAGCUUCCGGGAAACCAAAGCAUUUGGGUUCCAGGGGAAGUAUGGUUGCAAAGCUGAAACUUAAAGGAAUUGACGGAAGGGCACCACCAGGAGUGGAGCCUGUGGCUUAAUUUGACCCAACACGGGAAAUCUCACCAGGCCCGGACACUGGAAGGAUUGACAGAUUGAUAGCUCUUUCUUGAUUCGGUGGGUGGUGGUGCAUGGCCGUUCUUAGUUGGUGGAGUGAUUUGUCUGGUUAAUUCCGAUAACGAACGAGACUCUGUC